Molecule: ribosomal RNA, 403 nt
Filed under: uncultured bacterium
Lineage: Bacteria
Description: partial 16S ribosomal RNA
Rfam family: Bacterial small subunit ribosomal RNA
Source: RNAcentral
GACGAACGCUGGCGGCGUGCCUAAUACAUGCAAGUCGAACGCAGUGGGGACGGGUGAGUAACACGUGGGUAACCUCCCAUCAGAGGGGAUAACACUUGGAAACAGGUGCUAAACCGAUACUGAUGGAUGGACCCGAGGUGCAUUAGCUAGUUGGUGAGGUAACGGCUCACCAAGGCAACGAUGCAUAGCCGGACUGAAAGGGUGAUCGGCGAAACUGGGACUGAGACAAGGCCCAGACUCCAACGAGAGGCAGCAGUAGGGAAUCUUCGACAAUGGACGAAAGGCUGACCGAGCAACGCCGCGUGAGUGAAGAAGAUUUUCGGAUCGUAAAACUCUGUUGUUAGAGAAGCGGUAUCUAACCAGAGAGCCACGGCUAACUACGUACCAGCAGCCGCGGUAAUUC